UACGGAGGAUCCGAGCGUUAUCCGGAUUUAUUGGGGUUAAAGGGUGCGCAGGCGGGGGAUUAAGUCGGCGGUGAAAUUUUGCAGCUCAACUGUAAAAGUGCCUUCGAAACUGGUUUCCUUGAGUGUAGAUGAAGUAGGCGGAAUUUGUGGUGUAGCGGUGAAAUGCAUAGAUAUCACGAGGAACUCCGAUUGCGCAGGCAGCUUACUAAAUUACAACUGACGCUUAGGCACGAAGGCGUGGGUAUCAAACAGGAUUAGAUACCCUGGUAGUCCCU
RNAcentral lists this ribosomal RNA (275 nucleotides) under uncultured prokaryote. RNAcentral describes it as "partial 16S ribosomal RNA". It matches the Rfam family "Bacterial small subunit ribosomal RNA", at positions 524 to 798 of the family's 1533-position model. The record is from RNAcentral.